This is a long non-coding RNA of Syngnathus typhle (broad-nosed pipefish), 1350 nucleotides long. RefSeq lists it as uncharacterized. Lineage: Eukaryota; Metazoa; Chordata; Actinopteri; Syngnathiformes; Syngnathidae. The record is from RefSeq and is a predicted model, not a curated record. The transcript is spliced from 5 exons.
UCUAAGCGAGCGCUCGGAAAGAUCGCACGCUAUAGUGUGGGCCAGACAGGCGAAGCAAAACAUUCAAGAAAGCCCCGAUAGUCCCACAAAUCUGAUGAGUGGUUUCACAGCCAUCAAUGAGGACAACAACAACAACAGGUUUUUCAAUAGCUUUGUAGAGAUGAAGACGGGGGUUAGAGAUGGACCUCCAAGAUGGCUGUGAAGGGCCACACUAACACUGUAGAGGCCCCUGGGAAGCUUGUCUCUGGUGGCCCUGAGACAACGCACGCACACUUCCACAGGCUGAGGAGAUGGACUUGGAUGCAUCUAUAAGAACAAACACAGGCCUUACUUUUCCAUUCCCAUUGAAGACAUCCAUCAGCCUUCGCUUCAUCUUCACCCAGUGGCUCAUCUUCGGAGCAGCAACCUGCUGUAAAUUCACAUGCGCACAAUGGAAGAAUUGAGCAAAAGAAAUGAACUGGCCUGCAAUCUACAGUGAAUCGAUAGACCCUGAAGACAUGUUGCCUUUCAUGAGUGACAUUGUGGCAGGCUGCAAAAGCCGAGACAAAAGCGUGCGGGAAAAUGUCGGGAUCCACGCCGACACACGCUGAUCCACGUGUGCAAGUGCGAUGAGGACGUGCGGCCUAAACCGGUGGGAGGCAUCCAUACAACAGCGUAAGGUGAUUGUCUGGAAGUCCGCUGUAAACAAGGCCUCGGCUUUGAGCUGUCUUCCUCGGUCCCAGUGUGCGCUAGUGCCAGGAGAGCGUGGACAACAAAAAAUCAUCUUCACCCAGCUAAAGCUACCAUUUGGAGACGUGCAAUAGGCAAAGGAGUCAAGGACAUGGGUGCUCCUGAAAAUGACAAGGCUGUACAUACAGUAUGUAUGUGUGUCCUCCUAGAUCUUUGAAAUAGAAUAUCACAUUUGUGUUUCUUGCCUGCAUGAUGCAAGGUUUUUUUUUUUUUAAGAGACAUCAUAGAGUAAACAUCAUCUGUCGUGAUGUGCCUGUGUGGCAAUGUGAAACACAAAUUGAGGGCACACAUGCAUCUCUUCAGUUAAUAUAAAAGCAAGGCAUCGAGCUAAUGUUACCCUCAAAGUGUGAUCUUUUUGAUGUGCGCACAGUAAUUGUGACCCAGCCAACAGUUUCUUAUUAACACAACAAGCGCGUCAGUUGGUGUAGACAGAAAACAUAAUUAGUAUUCAGGCUUAAUUAAUCUACGCUGGCCCCCUUAAAGUGAAUUGGGCAAUUAUUUAUGCAUGUGUGCUCCUCUGAUGCUAACAGAUUAUGUACGUUGCUGAAAGAGAGGGGAAGCGAAACCUUGGAAAAUGACUUUGAAAACUUUCCACCAUAAAAAUGUCAAAACAAGCCGGAC